GGCGAUCCCUGUGAAAGGAUCGUUCGACCCCCAAAGGGGUCGUGACCCACAGGUUGAGAACCGCUGCUCUACACGCAUGUCAGGCGUCUUCUCCAGCCGCCCCCCACACCACCAGGGAAUUGCCUUGUAGAAUUUCAGUUCUGAGUUAGAGCCGGUAUUUCUCUCUCGCUUGCAGAGACAAUACUCAGAGAACACAUACAAGUUCCUUAGCAGAGGACGCACCAUGCCCAUCACGACAGGGCCCUGCCUCCCUGUCCGGCUCUGGCUCCCAUGAUGUCUGUGCCUGGAAACUCGGUGCUGGCGAUGCUGAAGCUCGCGGGCCGCCCCCUGCAUCUGGCCCCGGAGCACACUCUUCUCGCUCCCCCAGCCCGUUCCCACCGGGCUCACCCACACCGAGAGGGGCUCGGAGGGGCUCAGCUCUGCUUCUCGCACUCUAUGGUUCACCCGGCACAUUCCUGGCACUGCCUAACUGGCUUCCUGGUGGGCUCGCUUCGCUUUUACGCUGGAUCUUCCGUCCUAGUCUUCCCUUCAGAGGCGCCGCCAGUUGGUAAAUUCCUUUGGAAGUCCCUGCUGCCUGGCAGUGGCUGGCACAUUUCUGAGAUUCGGUGAACAGCUGUUGAAUCAAUGAACGAACGAACAAACGAACGAAUGAUAUUCAUCAGAAGAGCCUGACAACAAGGUGCCCAUUGCCACAGCUCUGGGCAGGGGCGGGCUGAGGGGCCCCGCGAGCGGCCCGAGCUCACACAUGACCAGUGUCCCAGUGCCGGGAGCCCUGAGACCCUCCGUGUCCCCCUGAGGGCAGCUGGGCGCCCCGCCAGAGCCCCGGAGCCACAGCCUCGGGGGACUCGUGCCGCCAGGAGCCAAUGGGAACUGUCGACGCAGAAGCAGACAUGGCACUCGCUGGGCAACAGCUGCAACUGGAAGUGCCCAGAGGCCCUGCUGGGUGGGAGCCGGUGACAGCGCCCGCUGCCAGCUCGCAGCACGGAGUUUCCAUGAGGUUCGCGGGCGGAACGGGGCCAGCUGGGCCGCGUCGCUGCUGGGAGCAAGGCCCUCUGCCCCCCAAAGGCGUCUUCUCUGCCAUCCCCAUCCCCAUGGGCAGGAGAGAGAGAGAGAGAGAGAACACAUUUUCCCACCAGAAACCAGGCGCGAGAAGCCUUGGACCUGAAAUCGGAUCUUCACGUUUUGGUGGGGGCAGGGGCAGGGGCAGGGGCAGGAAAAAGGGUUUGAACUAAAAAUAGAAUCAAAGAGCUGACUCUAUCUGAACUAUAGAGUGAGAGAAGUGUUGAAUAAGAACCAAUGUAAAUAACAAGAAAAGCUGAGGAAUUUCAAACCAAGGGGAGGGUUAGUGAGCCUUUUAUCGCCAGAAAGAGCUGUGUCCUUUUUCCAAUUCCUCGUCCUACAGAAGAAACUGGGAGUGGAACGCCUGACACCGAAAUUCCAGCGAAUUGUCUUCCCUGCUGAGUCUCCUGAGCGUGAGGAUUUAUUUUCCAAAAGCCUGACAUUUCCGAAAUUCUGCUAAGUCGAAGCCUUUUCCUGCUUUCUCUCCCUGUUACCACAGGGGCCGAUGGAAUUCACACAAGAACCUAAAUGAAAACUUUUCUGCAAACCCGAGUGCUGUCUUUGCCUCAGAUUGUUCUGUGAAAAGCAAGUUUUUGCAGAGAAAGUCAAAACCUCCUGUAUAAGUGGGAAGCAUUUCUCAAGAUUCGUUGGAUUGGCCAACGCGCGGUAAUAAUUUCACCACUAUUAUUGUUGGACAUAAAAGAAGUUCAUUUUGCGUUUAGGUACGAAAUAGUUCAAACAGCUAUAGUUCACUAUAGUGAUCAUGAAAUAGUUAAUACUCGAAGGAAAACAUAAAACUGCAGAGAAAUAGGUAAAACACACCUUAAUUCCAUCAUCCACACACAACUACGUUUUCACAGGAGUGCAUCCCAUCCCUUCCCAGGCUUUUACCUGCGUGUGAAGGGGCUGUGUUCCCAGUCAUCAUCGACUUUGUGCCUAAAUUGUUAUGAUUUUAUAUGAAACAUCGUCAUUUCAAUUAUAAUCCUUUAGAUCAUAAGCACAACAGCAAUGACAGUGACCGCAGUGGGGAACAGCCACACGCGGGCACACACGGCCUCUCGUCCACCCGCCCCUCCGCCCUGCUCGAUGCAGCCCCGUAUAAAAGGCCUAAGUGGAUUUUUAGGGCUUCAGCUGGUCCGCUGUGGACGUAGCUGCUCCUAGAAAUGCCUUCUCUAUCCCCCACAGCAGCAUAGCCAAGUUGGAAGAGAGCCCAUAACAGUUAUUAGCGUGCGACUGCAUUUUUAAAGUGAGGAAGUCGGGACCGAGAAUAAAUGAUGUGAUUUGCUCAGAGUCAUACAGUGACUUCGUCUCAGGGUCACCCAGGCCCCUGGGCUGCCUGGUGGCUCUCUGGGGCUGUCCACAGCACCCACUGCCUGUCAAUCAACUGUCACCAAAAUUAGUAUCCAGUGGGGGAGGCUCUCUGAGCUCUCCCAGCCCCUCCCCCUCUUUCUCGGUUCUCGGUGCGGCUGCUGGUUUGGAAAGCAAGGACAGAAAGAGUGUGUGAACACCGCCUUUUUGGAUGCUUCCUGCAAACUCGUCCUACGACUCUUGAGCCCUCUCUGCGCCCGAACUCUUCAUCUUCUGAAGAGGGAGACAUAUAUUGCAAUUCCUCUGUACCACUGAGGAGAGCGUUUCAGUAGCAAAAAUAAAAUCUCAAACUCGAAUCUAUCCUUUGCCCCUGUCUGUCUGGUCGGCCUGAUGUGGAGUUCCCGGAAUCAGGGCUGCUCUUCUUGGAGUCGGGGAAACAAUCCAGGAAUAAGAAAAAAUUACCCUGCGAACAAGAUACUGCAACAAAGGGGCCAGGCGCAGCCUAAUUCCCACUUCUCAUUAAAGACGGAAAAUCGGUUGAGGGCGUGCUUCCCUUCUCACUCGCCUCCCGUCGCCACGCUCUCCUGGGGAGAGGAUGUGCAUCCCGGGGGAGCUGCGGAGACCCUGGAAGAGAGGUUGCCACGCGUACACUCCUCCCAGUCUCUCUUCCAUGGGCCUAGUCAGCCUCAAAUUCAAAUCCACAGACGGUAGCUCUGUGUUUCAAAGACAACCUUCGAGAGCGGCCAUAAACCUGACGCAGGUGGGAGGCACGUGGGCAGCCCUCCCGCCCUGCUUCUUACUCCAGACACGGUUCUAACCCAGAUUAAACUGUGUGUGCAGAGGAGUGCCGAGGUGGCAGUCCUGGUGAGGGGACAGCUUAUUCUGUGGCACAGGUGACAGCCUUCAGUAGCCAGACGGAGAACCACCACCUCCGCGAGGGCACGAGUCAGUCUGGUCUGUUUGUCGAGGCUCCCUCCCAGGUUUACAGCUAAUCCUUUGGCUCAGAGGGCACGAAGCAGAUUCAGCUGGUCACUGAACUCACGAAGAUAGCCCGUCGGACCUGUGAGGAGGGCACAGCAUCACCUCUCUUGUCCCGAAGUCACUUACCCCCACCCCCACUUGUAGGAGCUUCGCCAAGAACCCAGGAGCAAACGUGGCCCCCAAGAAACUCGAUGAGCUGGUGUGAAGUUUAAGGACUUGGUUCAUGGGAGAGUUUAAGGACUUGGUUCAUGACUCCUCCAGAGUCAAUUCGUUUUCAUCUUUAUGUGUCUCUAACCUGCACGAUCCUAAGAUUUCUCCUCCCGCACAGAGAUUAGACUCAGCAAAUGUUUAAAGGUGGUUGACUUGAUCCACUGAAAGACGGUGAAGGAGAAAUAAAAACACUCAACGUUCACAGAAGUUAACAAAUGCACAGUCACCUAGGUGUGGAUUUGGUGAAGAGGCUAAGACACCAACACACCACGUUAUACGGCCCAGUCUCUCAGUGAAUGUGAAGAAGGAUGCGUGACCUUGUUCCUUCAUGCCCUUCAGAAGGCGGCUUACACCUCAACAUCUCAGAAAGACCUUCCUCCACGGACUCUUCUGGAAGCAGCCCUAACCCCCCGCUCUGCUUCUCCUCACCCUGUAUGUCUCCUGCCCAGCACCUGCUGCAAUUUACAGUCACAUUCUUUAUGACUUGACUUUUUUGUUACAGUUGUCUGCCGGCUGCAGUGAAUUUUGAGCGCCAUGCUCUUCCUUCUCAUCACCGACUGCCCCAAGCCCGGCUCUGUGCUUGUCCCAUGAAAGGUGCUGAAUCAGCAAACGAUGGAUGAGUCAAGAAACGUCAACAGGGAAGCAGCUACAUUCCUUGGUGACGACAUAUCCCUUUAGAAGCUUGUAUUUAGAUUUAGGAAUCCACCUUAGAAAGAUGACUAAAGGGAUGUUGUAUUUUGAGAAGACAGGACAUUUGGUAACCACCAUUGACUGGGAAACCAUCAUGUACCAGGAAGGAUAAUCCUCGCAACGACACAGUCCAGUAGAUGAUCAGUCCUCGCUUCACUGAUGAGGAAACCGAAGUUAAGCAACUUUCCAAUUGUAUGCAAUUUGUGGCCAAGUGUGGAUGCAAACCCGAGGCCCGCAUCUCAUUGCUUGAAUGGGUACAGCUUCAAUCAUCUUUCCUUGCUGAGGAGCUCAGGCCCUGUCUGGGUUCUGCACGGGCCUGAACCAAGAGCUGUGUUCCAAAGGGACUAAUUAGGCAGGGAGGAAGGUCAUGCAGAUUAGGGCUGAGUCAAGUCUGAGAAUCAAGACAGGGAGACCAGGUUCAAAGGGCAGGCCUGGAAUUAUAAAAGAAUCAAAAGUCAGGAGUCCUUUGAAAACAGGGUCUGAGUCAUUCUCCAGCCCACUUAAGUCUGGCUUCCACCCCCCUCCUCCUGCCCCCCUCAGACUUUCCCAAAACAGCCCUCACUAAUGUCACCAAUGACUUUGACAUUGGCAGAUCCAUUUAUGCUUCAUCGUGCCUGGCUCCUCAGUAGCAUCUGACAUCUGACCAUUCACUUCCUCCUUCGUGAAUCAUUGUUUAGCCCUGGCUUCCCUCCCACCCCGAGCUCUCGCCUGCUCUUCCUCUCACCUAUCUGUCUGCUCUAUCUCAGUCGCAUUUGCCAUUUGAUUCUCCUCCACUUUGACGAUAAAUGUGCAGGUUUUCAAGAUCACGCAUCUGCUCACUGAUGAUCCCAGCUGUUAUCGCUUGCCUGACCUCUCUCCUGAAGGUCAAACUCCAGUCCAACAAGCUGUGCACAAUCUUCAUAUGAAACGCAGCAAGUCAAAACCAGACCCUUGACUUUUCCCUUCCAUAUACCCUUUCCUGUACUGGUGUCUAUGAAGACUGCCACAGCCAACAUGCUGAUCAAGGUCAUCCCCGCUCUCGUCUCUCUCUCACACACCACAUUCAAUGCCUUGUACAUCUGGAAUCGGACCCCGACCCACCACCUCCAGGGCUCCAAGCCAGGCCCACGUCUCACCAGCCUGUUGUAAUGGCCUCUUACCUGCCUUCAUUCCAAUGUGGACACAGCUGUGAGAGGGCCCACGAAGGACCUAAGUCAAUCAUAUCUCUGUUCAAUCUUGUAAUAUCCCCCCCUAAUUUCUAGCAGAAGCUGAACCCCUGCCUAGGCCCUGCAGCCCCUGUCACCUCAGGACAUGACCUGGAAGGGGGAGGGUCAGGAUCCCCUUGGUGGGGCUGGGAGCUCCAACCCCUGCUCCAACAGGGAGAGGACUCCCACCCCCACCCUUGCCCACCUCCCCACCAGUUUCCCUGCAGACUUUCAGGCCCUCCCUUUUCUGGGGCAAAGACACUGCAGGAAAUCUAACUAAUGAUUUGAAAAACGCACUUUAAUUCUUUUUUUAUUAAAUCGAUUGGGGUGACGUAGGUCAACAUAAA
Myotis myotis is the source of this 5779-nucleotide long non-coding RNA. RefSeq lists it as uncharacterized. Lineage: Eukaryota; Metazoa; Chordata; Mammalia; Chiroptera; Vespertilionidae. The record is from RefSeq and is a predicted model, not a curated record. The transcript is spliced from 2 exons.